GACGAACCGUGCGAACGUUGUUCGGAAUCACUGGGCUUAAAGGGCGCGUAGGCGGGUCAUCAAGUCCGGGGUGAAAUCUUUCGGCUCAACCGGAAAAGUGCCUUGGAUACUGGUGAUCUGGAGGGAGGUAGGGGCAUGUGGAACUUCCGGUGGAGCGGUGAAAUGCGUUGAUAUCGGAAGGAACUCCGGUGGCGAAAGCGACGUGCUGGACCUCUUCUGACGCUGAGGCGCGAAAGCUAGGGGAGCGAACGGG
This 253-nucleotide ribosomal RNA is filed under the name uncultured bacterium. RNAcentral's name for it is "partial 16S ribosomal RNA". It matches the Rfam family "Bacterial small subunit ribosomal RNA", at positions 524 to 776 of the family's 1533-position model. The record is from RNAcentral.